This 92-nucleotide transfer RNA is filed under the name Gemmata palustris. RNAcentral describes it as "Gemmata sp. G18 tRNA-OTHER". Lineage: Bacteria; Pseudomonadati; Planctomycetota; Planctomycetia; Gemmatales; Gemmataceae. The record is from RNAcentral.
GGAAUUGCCAGUCAAUUUAGAAUCGGCACACCGCUUUGCUAAAGCGGCGUGGGGGUAAAACCCCACCGCGGGUUCGAAUCCCGCCCUCUCCG